This 459-nucleotide ribosomal RNA is filed under the name uncultured bacterium. RNAcentral's name for it is "partial 16S ribosomal RNA". It matches the Rfam family "Bacterial small subunit ribosomal RNA", at positions 338 to 795 of the family's 1533-position model. The record is from RNAcentral.
CCUACGGGAGGCAGCAGUGAGGAAUAUUGGUCAAUGGCCGGGAGGCUGAACCAGCCAAGUCGCGUGAGGGAAGACGGCCCUACGGGUUGUAAACCUCUUUUGUCAGGGAGCAAGGUUCAGGUCGGGACCUGCUGUGAGAGUACCUGAUGAAUAAGCAUCGGCUAACUCCGUGCCAGCAGCCGCGGUAAUACGGAGGAUCCGAGCGUUAUCCGGAUUUAUUGGGUUUAAAGGGUGCGAAGGCGGAGGCUAAAGUCAGCGGUAAAGUGGCGGGGCGAAACCGAGAUGUGCCGUUGAUACUGUGUGUCUUGAGUGCGCGAAGGGUAGGCGGAAUGCGUGGUGUAGCGGUGAAAUGCAUAGAUAUCACGCAGAACUCCGAUUGCGAAGGCAGCCUACCGGCGCGCAACUGACGCUGAUGCACGAAAGCGUGGGUAUCGAACAGGAUUAGAUACCCGGGUAGUC